AAUCAGAUAAUUUAACUGAAGUACUCAGUACCUGCUGAUAUGGAAGGUAUCCUUAAAGCUACAAGUGCUAUGCUUCAGUCAAGACAGGGCAGAAGUGAAAUUCAGGCCUAAAUAAGGCAUGGCUGCCAAACUGUGAGGAGAAUGUAUC
Long non-coding RNA from Pezoporus occidentalis (night parrot), 148 nucleotides. RefSeq lists it as uncharacterized. The transcript is spliced from 3 exons. The record is from RefSeq and is a predicted model, not a curated record. Lineage: Eukaryota; Metazoa; Chordata; Aves; Psittaciformes; Psittacidae.